AUACUUAUAUUGGGUUAUGUGUAUACUUGUGCUUAUUUCUUGUAUUUAUGUAUGGUGUAUGAGUAUAUUCUAGACUGUUAGUGGAUAUGGUGUGAGCUACCAUUUGCAACAUUUUCUAAUUGCAAGUGACAUUAUCAUAGUUGUUUUUUAUAUGCUUUAUUUUAUACUUUGCUCAGUAAGCCUAUGAUACAUACUAAGUACAUGUGGACUGUACUCACCCUAUUACACCCUAUCGGUGA
Molecule: long non-coding RNA, 239 nt
Filed under: Capsicum annuum
Lineage: Eukaryota; Viridiplantae; Streptophyta; Magnoliopsida; Solanales; Solanaceae
Description: long non-coding RNA (CANN_LNC017318)
Source: RNAcentral